This 1016-nucleotide ribosomal RNA is filed under the name uncultured bacterium. RNAcentral's name for it is "bacterial SSU rRNA". It matches the Rfam family "Bacterial small subunit ribosomal RNA", at positions 320 to 1353 of the family's 1533-position model. The record is from RNAcentral.
UGAGACCCGCCAGACUCCUACGGAGCAGCAGUGGGGAAUAUGCCCAUGGGGAAACCUGAUGCAGCGACGCCGCGUGAGGGAUGACGGCCUUCGGGUUGUAACCUCUUUCAGUAGGGAAGAAGCCCUUCGGGUGACGGUACCUGCAGAAGAAGUACCGGCUAACUACGUGCCAGCAGCCGCGGUAAUACGUAGGGUACAAGCGUUGUCCGGAAUUAUUGGGCGUAAAGAGCUCGUAGGCGGUCCGUCGCGUCUGCUGUGGAAUCGCAAGGCUCAACCCUUGCGCGUGCAGUGGGUACGGGCGGACUAGAGUGCAGUAGGGGAGUCUGGAAUUCCUGGUGUAGCGGUGAAAUGCGCAGAUAUCAGGAGGAACACCGGUGGCGAAGGCGGGACUCUGGGCUGUUACUGACGCUGAGGAGCGAAAGCAUGGGGAGCGAACAGGAUUAGAUACCCUGGUAGUCCAUGCCGUAAACGUUGGGCACUAGGUGUGGGGCUCAUUCCACGAGUUCCGCGCCGCAGCUAACGCAUUAAGUGCCCCGCCUGGGGAGUACGGCCGCAAGGCUAAAACUCAAAGGAAUUGACGGGGGCCCGCACAAGCGGCGGAGCAUGCGGAUUAAUUCGAUGCAACGCGAAGAACCUUACCAAGGCUUGACAUACACCGGAAUGGGCCAGAGAUGGUUCAGCCCUUUGGGCUGGUGUACAGGUGGUGCAUGGUUGUCGUCAGCUCGUGUCGUGAGAUGUUGGGUUAAGUCCCGCAACGAGCGCAACCCUCGUUCUAUGUUGCCAGCACGUGAUGGUGGGAACUCAUAGGAGACUGCCGGGGUCAACUCGGAGGAAGGUGGGGAUGACGUCAAAUCAUCAUGCCCUUUAUGUCUUGGGCUUCACGCAUGCUACAAUGGUUGGUACAAAGGGUGGCGAGACCGCGAGGUGGAGCGAAUCCCGGAAAGCCGAUCUCAGUUCGGAUCGUAGUCUGCAACUCGACUACGUGAAGUCGGAGUCGCUAGUAAUCGCAGAUCAGC